Molecule: ribosomal RNA, 499 nt
Filed under: uncultured bacterium
Lineage: Bacteria
Description: partial 16S ribosomal RNA
Rfam family: Bacterial small subunit ribosomal RNA
Source: RNAcentral
GACGAACGCUGGCGGCGUGCCUAAUACAUGCAAGUCGAACGAAAUCUUUCGGGUUCUUGCAGCGGAGAAACUUAGCGGGGAGCGUGUUACUAACACGUAAGGAACCUGCCUCAUAGACGGGGACAACUAUUGGAAACGAUAGCUAAUACCGGAUAACAGCAUUAACUGCAGGGCUGAUGUUUAAAAGUUGUUUUUGCUAACACUAUGCGAUGGCUUUGCGGUGCAUUUGCUAGUUGGUGGGGGAAAGGCCUACCCAGGGGACGAUGCAUAGCCCCCCUGAGAGGGUGAUCGCCCACACUGGGACUGAGACACGGCCCAGACUCCUACGGGAGGCAGCAGUAGGGAAUCUUGCGCAAUGGGGGAAAGCCUGAUGGAGCAACGCGGCGUGAGGGAAGAAGGAUUUCGGCUCGUAAAGCGCUGUUGUUAGGGAAGAAGGAAUGUGUAGUAACUAGACACGGUAAUGACGGUACCGGAAGAAUAAGCCACGGCUAACUACGUG